UUUCAUUCCCACUCUAAAAUCUUGUUGCAGUUAUAGUUUGUAAUGGAAAGAACGUGUUUGUGAUUUUAUCCAAAUCAUUCACAAUGCUACAAGUUCAUUUUCUCUGGAGCAGUUCAUCAACUAAAAGAAAAUCACACACCAAAAACAAAUUUGUCUUCUGUAAGUAAAGUAGCUCUUGCACUUCUUUUUUCUUGCCUACAGAGAUACAUUUUCCCCCAGUGCACACCAGGUCCAAAGGAUGCAAGGUGGUUGAAUUGGACGAGUUGUUAGAAACCUUGGCAAUGUGGUGCUUACCUUACUAGUGGUGGGAGAAACUAUGACAAUACAUAUUUUUGGUGUGAAUGAAUCUGUUGUUUAUGUAUUUGUUUCAUGCCCACUUCUCUCAUCAUAUGGUUCAAAACACCAGCAGACAGGAGUUAUGCAAAUGAUGUAGUGGAGAUUGUUCCCUCAACCAAACAUGUUUAAUGAAGCAAACACAUGGAGUCAAUCUUUCAAAGCAAAUACUGAAAUCUAACACCCGAUGUUAAUAUUAUUUUGUGUAGAUGGAGGGUGAUAGUAGUUGCGGCCGCAUCAUAAUGCCUGACCAGGCUUGCAGAAUGAAGUACAAUUUGUAGUGUGUGACACCAAAUUCGGAUCUAGAAAGGUGUAAUAUGUCACAGUGAGGAGCUCUCUGAUUGCGCGCAUUUGAAUAUCUUAACCUCAUGUGCCUGAUAUCCUACUACAAGCUUGACAUGCAGAAAUAGUAGAACAUCAGAAUAAUUCAUUUACUCAGCAGUUUCCAACAGAGGCUAGUGCAGAAAUUUCAUGUUCACUUUCACAGAUGUUGCACAAGCCUACUUGCAAGCUUGUUCUCGUUCACCUGGACAGCCCUGUCUUUCAGUGUAGGCCCACUUCUGCCACAUUGUGCUGCUCAAGUCCAAUUCUCACAUGAACUGCCUGAUACACCUUUACUUUCAUAUCCAUCACAGUGUCCAAACUAUGGCAGUCAUUUGAUUGCUUGUCAUGCACACCCAAGCUGUUCAACUCCCACACACUCCCACAGCCAUGCAAAUUGGGCUUAUUGGAAACCUCCUAUUUUGUACAACUGUGUCACC
RNAcentral lists this long non-coding RNA (1094 nucleotides) under Physcomitrium patens. RNAcentral describes it as "long non-coding RNA (PPAT_LNC011707)". The record is from RNAcentral. Lineage: Eukaryota; Viridiplantae; Streptophyta; Bryopsida; Funariales; Funariaceae.